This 919-nucleotide long non-coding RNA is filed under the name Vigna radiata. RNAcentral describes it as "long non-coding RNA (VRAD_LNC018641)". Lineage: Eukaryota; Viridiplantae; Streptophyta; Magnoliopsida; Fabales; Fabaceae. The record is from RNAcentral.
AGCAAGUUUUAAUAACCAUAACAUCUCAAUCUGGGUUGAUUUGAACUUCAAGAAUCAUCAAAUUCCAAAAAGAGCAUGUUGAGUUGCCAAAAAUUCUGCAGAAUUGAAUUCUGGUAUGGCGCUCAAGCGCCCUCCACCUAGGGGCGCCCGGGCGCGCGACGUGCAGGCACAACUGCCAAAAUUCUGCAGAACCAGGUUCUGAUAUGGCGCUCAAGCGCCCUUCUCCCAGGGGCGCCCGGGCACGCGACCUACUGUUUGGGCCUGGUUGCAUUGUACUUAUCCCAACCCACUUCUGAAAACCCUAAGCACUCUCAUUCCACAUCAAAAACCCCAUUCACGCCUCUACUUCCUUUGCAAACCGCUCCUAACUCUCCUCUCCUCAUCUUUCAUUCUCUAAACACCAAACCUUCAUCAACCCUAGCCUUAUCCUCACCAUCUCAGACUCCCUCAACUCACGCCCUUCUUCAAUUACAAGCCACCCAAAACCUAAUUCUUCAACCUACACACAAUUUCCCCAAAUCAAUAACACUUUCACUCAACCCCAUUGAUUAUCUCGUCACCCCCCACUCAAAGGGUUUGAGUUGCAGUUGCUGCAACAUACCAAGGACUGCCCCAUUUUCGCCCUAAUUUUCACAUCCGAAGUGCUUUGCCCCCUCUUCCCACUCAAGUAGGUUUUCGUUUUCUUUUGCACCGCUAGGGUUUUCGACUGUGCUAGUUUCAACUUCGUGUCAUGUGUGUUGCUGUUCACUGUUUUACUCUUUUCUGGCUGAUUUCAAUUGAAUCUUGUUUCCACUGCAUUUUGAUAUGUUGCACUUUUGAUCCUUCUUUGCUGUUAGAAGUAACAUUUAUUGGGUUCAAUUUUGCUCUUUUGGAAUUAUACUUUGCUUUCACUGGUUCUGUAGUGGGCUAACAGGGAGAU